This 492-nucleotide ribosomal RNA is filed under the name uncultured bacterium. RNAcentral's name for it is "partial 16S ribosomal RNA". It matches the Rfam family "Bacterial small subunit ribosomal RNA", at positions 29 to 507 of the family's 1533-position model. The record is from RNAcentral.
AGUGAACGCUGGCGGCAGGCCUAACACAUGCAAGUCGAACGGCAGCACAGUAGCAGCUUGCUGUUACGGGUGGCGAGUGGCGGACGGGUGAGAAAUACACCGGAACCUACUUUUUCGAGAGCGAGAAGGAAGCCGGACUAAUACUACAUACGCACAACGCCUGAGGGCGAAAGCAGUGCGUCUUCGGACCUUGCGCGUUGGCCGAAGCCGAUGUCGGAUUAGCUAGUUGGCGGGGUAAAGGCCUACCAAGGCGACGAUCCGUAGCUGGUCUGAGAGGAGGAUCAGCCACACUGGAACUGAGACACGGUCCAGACUCCUACGGGAGGCAGCAGUGGGGAAUUUUGGACAAUGGGCGAAAGCCUGAUCCAGCAAUGCCGCGUGGGUGAAGAAGGCCUUCGGGUUGUAAAGCCCUUUUGUUGGGAAAGAAAAGCAUCGGUUUAAUACAGCGGUGUUCUGACGGUACCCAAAGAAUAAGCACCGGCUAACUACGUG